Molecule: ribosomal RNA, 890 nt
Filed under: uncultured bacterium
Lineage: Bacteria
Description: bacterial SSU rRNA
Rfam family: Bacterial small subunit ribosomal RNA
Source: RNAcentral
AGAGUUUGAUCAUGGCUCAGGAUGAACGCCGGCGGUGUGCCUAAUACAUGCAAGUCGAACGCGUUGGCCCAACUGAUUGAACGUGCUUGCACGGACUUGACGUUGGUUUACCAGCGAGUGGCGGACGGGUGAGUAACACGUAGGUAACCUGCCCCAAAGCGGGGGAUAACAUUUGGAAACAGAUGCUAAUACCGCAUAACAAUUUGAAUCGCAUGAUUCAAAUUUAAAAGAUGGUUUCGGCUAUCACUUUGGGAUGGACCUGCGGCGCAUUAGCUUGUUGGUAGGGUAACGGCCUACCAAGGCUGUGAUGCGUAGCCGAGUUGAGAGACUGAUCGGCCACAAUGGAACUGAGACACGGUCCAUACUCCUACGGGAGGCAGCAGUAGGGAAUCUUCCACAAUGGGCGCAAGCCUGAUGGAGCAACACCGCGUGAGUGAAGAAGGGUUUCGGCUCGUAAAGCUCUGUUGUUAGAGAAGAACGUGCGUGAGAGCAACUGUUCACGCAGUGACGGUAUCUAACCAGAAAGUCACGGCUAACUACGUGCCAGCAGCCGCGGUAAUACGUAGGUGGCAAGCGUUAUCCGGAUUUAUUGGGCGUAAAGCGAGCGCAGGCGGUUUGAUAAGUCUGAUGUGAAAGCCUUUGGCUUAACCAAAGAAGUGCAUCGGAAACUGUCAGACUUGAGUGCAGAAGAGGACAGUGGAACUCCAUGUGUAGCGGUAGAAUGCGUAGAUAUAUGGAAGAACACCAGUGGCGAAGGCGGCUGUCUGGUCUGCAACUGACGCUGAGGCUCGAAAGCAUGGGUAGCGAACAGGAUUAGAUACCCUGGUAGUCCAUGCCGUAAACGAUGAGUGCUAGGUGUUGGAGGGUUUCCGCCCUUCAGUGCCGCAGCU